GUUUGGAGUAACGGCAAUACAUAUACUAAAAUUGGAACGAUACAGAGAAGAAUAACAUAGCUCCUGCGCAAGAAUGACACGCAAAUUCACGAAGCGUCCCAUAUUUUU
Small nuclear RNA from Octopus sinensis (East Asian common octopus), 108 nucleotides. Lineage: Eukaryota; Metazoa; Mollusca; Cephalopoda; Octopoda; Octopodidae. The record is from RefSeq and is a predicted model, not a curated record.